RNAcentral lists this small RNA (86 nucleotides) under Flavobacterium sp. 270. Its description in RNAcentral is "Flavo-1 RNA". Lineage: Bacteria; Pseudomonadati; Bacteroidota; Flavobacteriia; Flavobacteriales; Flavobacteriaceae. The record is from RNAcentral.
UUUAAGCUCCGAAGGAGCCGUUGUUCUUUUUUUUAUCUCGUUAUAAAAUGAGACUGAAAGAGAUAUGGCAGACAGCGGGAUUAGCU